CAUUGCUUAUAUAAGACACCUUUCUGCCAGGCUUCCCGAGGUUACAUCUAUUAUCUAUAUCUUUCAUUGAACUUAAUGAUUUUAUUUUUAGUUGACUACAAGAAUCAAAUUGCAGCCUGCAGGUAUCUCUUUCUAUCUUUCACUUGUGUAGUCCCCUUAAUAGGAUCCGGUAUUAAAAAAAUUAAACACUUUAUUUGUUGUUUUGUAUACUGUGAAAUGAAUGACUUUCAGGUGAAAAGGGAAGAUUAAAUCAAAUAGUAGAUAAAGAUCUAAUGGGAGAGUGACUUAUUUAAAUGGGAAGAAAUUGUCCAUGUUGCACUCAUGUGUAGACAUAUUUUAGGUGACUUUGUUUAUUAUGUGGAAUUGCAUAUGCCUCUAAGUACUAAGGCACCACAUGUAGAGUUAUGAAUUUUGUGACAAUCUGAGCUGGUAAUUAAGGCAUUUUUCAUGUAUCAAAGAUCAACUAUUUUGAAAUCAGUGGUGUCAUUUAUAAGCAAAGGAUUGAUUAAGUUUGUCAUUUUGAUACCUCUAGAUAUAUUUGAGUUGUAUUUUGAAGUUGGAUUAUUUUAUAACCAAUACUUGGUUAAUAUUGUAGUGCAUGUCACUUAUUUUAUUUCUUAUGAGCAGUUUGAUUUUAGGAUUAAUGAAAUUUGUUUGGUUUUUAUUAUCCAG
RNAcentral lists this long non-coding RNA (672 nucleotides) under Trifolium pratense (red clover). Its description in RNAcentral is "long non-coding RNA (TPRA_LNC005187)". The record is from RNAcentral. Lineage: Eukaryota; Viridiplantae; Streptophyta; Magnoliopsida; Fabales; Fabaceae.